UUACCGAGUUUACAACUCCCAAACCCUUAUGUGAACAUACCAUAUCGUUGCCUCGGCGGGAUCGCCCCGUGGGCGCAGCAGGGCUCACGCCACUGCCGUCCCGGAAUCAGGCCCCCGCCCGAGGACCCCAAACUCUUGUUUUAUUCAGUGGUUUCUCUGAGUGGCUCGUGAGAGCAAUUAAAUAAAAUCAAAACUUUCAACAACGGAUCUCUUGGUUCUGGCAUCGAUGAAGAACGCAGCGAAAUGCGAUAAGUAAUGUGAAUUGCAGAAUUCAGUGAAUCAUCGAAUCUUUGAACGCACAUUGCGCCCGCUAGUAUUCUGGCGGGCAUGCCUGUUCGAGCGUCAUUUCAACCCUCAGCUCCCCCCUUUCGGGGGCGGGAAAGCUGGUGUUGGGGAUCAGCCUUCUACGGCUGUCCCUCAAAUACAGUGGCGGUCACGCUGCAGCCUCCUAUGCGUAGUAACUUACACCUCGCACCUGGAACUCUGCGCGGCCACGCCGUAAAACCCCUACUUUUACAAGGUUGACCUCGA
Molecule: ribosomal RNA, 531 nt
Filed under: aff. Stachybotrys sp. LA227
Lineage: Eukaryota; Fungi; Ascomycota; Sordariomycetes; Hypocreales; Stachybotryaceae
Description: eukaryotic LSU rRNA
Rfam family: 5.8S ribosomal RNA (bases 192-345)
Source: RNAcentral